UGAUGGAUGUGGUCUCCGCGCCCGGAGGAGUGAUGCUUAUGCGCGCGUCCUCGACGAGGUUGCUGCCUGCAGUGAUGGCGAGAAAGACAUGAUACCUUCUUCUGUUUGUAUGAUUUGAUGAUUCUUCUUGAUUGAUUGAGGUUUUCUCUUCCUUGGUCAUGGAUUUCUUUCGGUUGAUGCUUCAACCAUCGGUUCAUCUCACCAUGUUCACAUAUUAUGUGUAGAAAAGCAGUUAAUCUCCAGAUCACGGGAAGAACAAAAAUUGAACGGAAUUAGUGUUUCGUGAUCGAUUUCCCGAUGCGCGUUCUAUCGCCGGAGUUGCUUCCUGUCGUUCGUCGUCGCUUGACGCCGACGGGUAGCGUGGGAGGGUGGCCUCACCGGGCGCAAAAUGGCGCCGUGGGCUGUCGGGCGCUUCGUUCUCAGGACUCCGUCCUCGUGCGAGCGUCUUCGCAUCCAGAUGCGGGGAGCCGCUGUUUUCCCUCUUUCCUCUCGCUUUCUUUUUGUUCUAGUGGCCAAAUCGCUCUUGGCAGAGCAAGUGCAUGAUAACGUGUAAAGAGUAAAAGAAGAGAAGGAGAAUGAUUGAAAUUAACAGUAUUUUCUUAUUAA
This is a long non-coding RNA of Hordeum vulgare subsp. vulgare (domesticated barley), 606 nucleotides long. RefSeq lists it as uncharacterized. Lineage: Eukaryota; Viridiplantae; Streptophyta; Magnoliopsida; Poales; Poaceae. The record is from RefSeq and is a predicted model, not a curated record. The transcript is spliced from 2 exons.